GGAGAGUGGGCCGGACGGUAAGGCACAAGUUUGCUAAACUUGCGGUGCGAAAGCGCCGAGUGGGUUCGACUCCCACACUCUCCGCUA
RNAcentral lists this transfer RNA (87 nucleotides) under Candidatus Microgenomates bacterium. Its description in RNAcentral is "tRNA-Ser". It matches the Rfam family "tRNA". From Rfam's summary of the family: Transfer RNA (tRNA) molecules are approximately 80 nucleotides in length. Lineage: Bacteria; Candidatus Microgenomatota. The record is from RNAcentral.